UUAGGACGAACGCUGGCGGCGUGCUUAACACAUGCAAGUCGAACGCUGAAGCUCCCAGCUUGCUGGGGGUGGAUGAGUGGCGAACGGGUGAGUAUCACGUGAGUAACCUGCCCUUGACUCUGGGAUAAGCCCGGGAAACUGGGUCUAAUACUGGAUAGGACUGGCCAUCGCAUGGUGGUUGGUUGAAAGCUUUUGCGGUUUUGGAUGGACUCGCGGCCUAUCAGCUUGUUGGUGGGGUAAUGGCCUACCAAGGCUUUGACGGGUAGCCGGCCUGAGAGGGUGACCGGCCACACUGGGACUGAGACACGGCCCAGACUCCUACGGGAGGCAGCAGGUGGGGAUAUUGCACAAUGGGCGCAAGCCUGAAUGCAGCGACGCCGCGUGAGGGAUGACGGCCUUCGGGUUGUAAACCUCUUUCAGUUGGGAAGAAGCCUUUCGGGGUGACGGUACCUUCAGAAGAAGCACCGGCUAACUACGUGCCAGCAGCCGC
RNAcentral lists this ribosomal RNA (490 nucleotides) under uncultured bacterium. Its description in RNAcentral is "bacterial SSU rRNA". It matches the Rfam family "Bacterial small subunit ribosomal RNA", at positions 24 to 518 of the family's 1533-position model. The record is from RNAcentral.